GGCAAAGUUAAUAUGGUCGACGUAUAAUUUGGAAGAAUGUUCAAACAGAAGCAAGUUUGGAGGACCUUUCGAUGGAGGGAUUUUGACAGAUGAAACUGAUAAUUUACAUUAUCGAAAGUCGCUAUGCAUAUGUUACGUAUACAAGGGUAUUACCUGCAGCUUGGCUGCCUACAACUGCAAUAUUUUCUGUAAAUCUAGAGGCUUAGUAUUACCUAUAAUAAUUGGACUUAAACAAAACUGAGAUGAUCAUCUUAUGCAUACUAAUAGACAGAUAUGCUUCAUGAGGCUAGGCUUCACCGUGCAUUGAGGAUCAUCCGUAACACACUCUUCAUCUUUGGCCUUGCUUCUGGUGAAACACUGACACAACUGAGAGCAAUCUUGAGCAUUGCAAGCAUUUGGCCUCUGACAGCUAGUGAUGUUUUACUGACGUUAAAGUCGAGGAUGUGAUCCCACCUAUUCUGCUGCUUUGAGCUAUUUAAGACCCACUUGGCUAAUUCACUUCCCUCGCUAACUGCUGGCUUUC
This 523-nucleotide unclassified non-coding RNA is filed under the name Hevea brasiliensis (rubber tree). The record is from RNAcentral. Lineage: Eukaryota; Viridiplantae; Streptophyta; Magnoliopsida; Malpighiales; Euphorbiaceae.